This 460-nucleotide ribosomal RNA is filed under the name uncultured bacterium. RNAcentral's name for it is "partial 16S ribosomal RNA". It matches the Rfam family "Bacterial small subunit ribosomal RNA", at positions 338 to 795 of the family's 1533-position model. The record is from RNAcentral.
CCUACGGGAGGCAGCAGUGAGGAAUAUUGGUCAAUGGGCGAGAGCCUGAACCAGCCAAGUCGCGUGAGGGAAGACGGUCCUCUGGAUUGUAAACCUCUUUUGUCGGGGAGCAAAAAUGCCUCGUUAGGCCACAAGUGAGAGUACCCUACGAGAAAGCAUCGGCUAACUCCGUGCCAGCAGCCGCGGUAAUACGGUGGAUGCGAUCGUUAUUCGGAUUUCUUGGGUUUAAAGGGUGCGUAGGGGGACUGGAAAGUCAUCGGUAAACUCGAGAGGCUCAACCUCUGUCCGCUGUUGAAACUGUCGGUCGUGAGUGGGCGAGAAGUAUGCGGAAUGCGUGGUGUAGCGGUGAAAUGCAUAGAUAUCACGAAGAACUCCGAUGGCGAAGGCAGCAUACCGGAGCCCGACUGACGCUGAGGCACGAAAGCGUGGGUAUCGAACAGGAUUAGAUACCCCUGUAGUC